Long non-coding RNA from Dreissena polymorpha, 2580 nucleotides. RefSeq lists it as uncharacterized. Lineage: Eukaryota; Metazoa; Mollusca; Bivalvia; Myida; Dreissenidae. The transcript has 5 exons. The record is from RefSeq and is a predicted model, not a curated record.
GAGACGUUAUUUUACGGAUCAAUUUAAAUAUUUUUAUGCCCCCCUUCGAAGAAGAGGGGGUAUAUUGCUUUGCUCAUGUCGGUCUGUCGGUAGGUCCGUCCACCAGGUGGUUUCCGGAUGAUAACUUAAGAACGCUUGGGCCUAGGAUCAUGAAACUUCAUAGGUUCAUUGAUCAUGACUCGCAGAUGACCCCUAUUGAUUUUGAGGUCACUAGGUCAAAGGUCAAGGUGACCCGAAAUAGUAAAAUGGGUCUGUCGGUAGGUCCGUCCACCAGGUGGUUUCCGGAUAACUCAAAAACACUUGGGCCUAGGAUCAUGAAACUUCAUAGGUACAUUGAUCAUGACUCGAAGAUGACCCCUAUUGAUUUUGAGGUCACUAGGUCAAAGGUCACGUUGACCCGAAAUAGUAAAAUGGUUUCCGGAUGAUAACUCAAGAACGCUUAGGCCUAGGAUCAUGAAACUUGAUAGGUAGAUUGAUCAUGACUCGCAGAUGACCCCUAUUGAUUUUCAGGUCACUAGGUCAAAGGUCAAGGUCACAGUGACCCGAAAUAGUAAAAUGGUUUCCGGAUGAUAACUCAAGAACGCUUAGGCCUAGGAUCAUGAAACUUGAUAGGUAGAAUGAUCAUGACUCGCAGAUGACCCCUAUUGAUUUUCAGGUCAAAGGUCAAGGUCACAGUGACCCGAAAUAGUAAAAUGGUUUCCGGAUGAUAACUCAAGAACGCUUAUGCCUAGGAUCAUGAAACUUCGUAGGUAGAUUGAUCAUGGCUGGCAGAUGACCCCUAUUGAUUUUCAGGUCACUAGGUCAAAGGUCAAGGUCACUGUGACCCGAAAUAGUAAAAUGGUGUCCGGUUGAUAACUCAAGAACGCUUAUGCCUAGGAUCAUGAAACUUCAUAGGUACAUUGAUCAUGACUCGCAGAUGACCCCUUUUGAUUUUCAGGUCACUAGGUCAAAGGUCAAGGUCACGAUGACCCGAAAUAGUAAAAUGGUUUCCGUAUGAUAACUCAAGAACGCUUAUGCCUAGGAUCAUGAAACUUCAUUGAUAUAUUAAUCAUGACUAGCAGUUGACCCCUAUUGAUUUUCAGGUCACUAUAUCAAAGGUCAAGGUCACGUUGACCUGAAAUAGUAAAAUGGUUUCCGGAUGAUAACUCAAGAACGCUUAUGCCUAGGAUCAUGAAACUUCAUAGGUACAUUGAUCAUGACUCGCAGUUGACCCCUAUUGAUUUUCAGGUCACUAUAUCAAAGGUCAAGGUCACGGUGACCUGAAAUAGUAAAAUGGUUUCCAGAUGAUAACUCAAGAACACUAAUGGCUACGAUCAUGAAACUUCAUAUGUACAUUGAUCAUGACUCGCAGAUGACCCCUAUUGAUUUUGAGGUCACUAGGUCAAAGGUCAUGGUGACCCGAAAUAGUAAAAUGGUUUCCGGAUGAUAACUCAAAAACGCUUAUGCCUAGGAUCAUGAAACUUCAUAGGUACAUUGAUCAUGACUCGCAGAUGACCCCUAUUGAUUUUCAGGUCACUAGGUCAAAGGUCAAGGUCACGUUGACCCGAAAUAGUAAAAUGGUUUCCGGAUGAUAACUCAAGAACGCUUAGGCCUAGGAUCAUGAAACUUGAUAGGUAGAUUGAUCAUGACUCGCAGAUGACCCCUAUUGAUUUUCAGGUCACUAGGUCAAAGGUCAAGGUCACAGUGACCCGAAAUAGUAAAAUGGUUUCCGGAUGAUAACUCAAGAACGCUUAGGCCUAGGAUCAUGAAACUUGAUAGGUAGAAUGAUCAUGACUCGCAGAUGACCCCUAUUGAUUUUCAGGUCAAAGGUCAAGGUCACAGUGACCCGAAAUAGUAAAAUGGUUUCCGGAUGAUAACUCAAGAACGCUUAUGCCUAGGAUCAUGAAACUUCGUAGGUACAUUGAUCAUGACUCGCAGAUGACCCCUAUUGAUUUUCAGGUCACUAGGUCAAAGGUCAAGGUCACGGUGACCCGAAAUAGUAAAAUGGUUUCCGGAUGAUAACUCAAGAACGCUUAUGCCUAGGAUCAUGAAACUUGAUAGGUAGAUUGAUCAUGACUCGCAGUUGACCCCUAUUGAUUUUCAGGUCACUAUAUCAAAGGUCAAGGUCACGGUGCCCUGAAAUAGUAAAAUGGUUUCCAGAUGAUAACUCAAGAACGCUUAUGCCUAGGAUCAUGAAACUUCAUAGGUACAUUGAUCAUGACUCGCAGUUGACCCCUAUUGAUUUUCAGGUCACUAUAUCAAAGGUCAAGGUCACGGUGACCUGAUAUAGUAAAAUGGUUUCCGGAUGAUAACUCAAGAACGCUAAUGGCUACGAUCAUGAAACUUCAUAUGUACAUUGAUCAUGACUCGCAGAUGACCCCUAUUGAUUUUGAGGUCACUAGGUCAAAGGUCAAGGUCAUGGUGACCCGAAAUAGUAAAAUGGUUUCCGGAUGAUAACUCAAGAACGCUUAGGCCUAGGAUCAUGAAACUUCAUAGGUACAUUGAUCAUGACUGGCAGAUAACCCCUAUCGAUUUUGAGGUCACUAGGUCAAAGGUCAAGUUCACGGUGAUCCGAAAUAGUAAAAUGGUUUCCGGAUGAUA